RNAcentral lists this ribosomal RNA (497 nucleotides) under uncultured bacterium. RNAcentral's name for it is "partial 16S ribosomal RNA". It matches the Rfam family "Bacterial small subunit ribosomal RNA", at positions 28 to 507 of the family's 1533-position model. The record is from RNAcentral.
GAUGAACGCUGGCGGCGUGCCUAAUACAUGCAAGUCGAGCGAACAGAUGAGGAGCUUGCUCCUCUGACGUUAGCGGCGGACGGGUGAGUAACACGUGGAUAACCUACCUAUAAGACUGGGAUAACUUCGGGAAACCGGAGCUAAUACCGGAUAAUAUAUUGAACCGCAUGGUUCAAUAGUGAAAGACGGUUUUGCUGUCACUUAUAGAUGGAUCCGCGCCGCAUUAGCUAGUUGGUAAGGUAACGGCUUACCAAGGCAACGAUGCGUAGCCGACCUGAGAGGGUGAUCGGCCACACUGGAACUGAGACACGGUCCAUACUCCUACGGGAGGCAGCAGUAGGGAAUGUUCCGCAAUGGGCGAAAGCCUGACGGAGCAACGCGGCGUGAGUGAUGAAGGUCUUCGGAUCGUAAAACUCUGUUAUUAGGGAAGAACAAAUGUGUAAGUAACUAUGCACGUCUUGACGGUACCUAAUCAGAAAGCCACGGCUAACUACGUG